This 549-nucleotide ribosomal RNA is filed under the name uncultured bacterium. RNAcentral describes it as "bacterial SSU rRNA". It matches the Rfam family "Bacterial small subunit ribosomal RNA", at positions 355 to 896 of the family's 1533-position model. The record is from RNAcentral.
UGGGGAAUAUUGCACAAUGGGCGAAAGCCUGAUGCAGCCAUGCCGCGUGUGUGAAGAAGGCCUUAGGGUUGUAAAGCACUUUCAGCGAGGAGGAAAGGUUGUUAGUUAAUACCUGACAGCUGUGACGUUACUCGCAGAAGAAGCACCGGCUAACUCCGUGCCAGCAGCCGCGGUAAUACGGAGGGUGCGAGCGUUAAUCGGAAUUACUGGGCGUAAAGCGUGCGUAGGCGGCUACUUAAGUUGGAUGUGAAAGCCCCGGGCUCAACCUGGGAACUGCAUCCAAAACUGAGUGGCUAGAGUGCGAGAGAGGAGUGUGGAAUUUCCUGUGUAGCGGUGAAAUGCGUAGAUAUAGGAAGGAACACCAGUGGCGAAGGCGACACUCUGGCUUGACACUGACGCUGAGGUACGAAAGCGUGGGGAGCAAACAGGAUUAGAUCCCCUGGUAGUCCACGCCGUAAACGAUGUCUACUAGUUGUCCGUUGUCUUGUACGAUGGGUAACGAAGCUAACGCGAUAAGUAGACCGCCUGGGGAGUACGGCCGCAAGGUUA